RNAcentral lists this ribosomal RNA (467 nucleotides) under unidentified nematode Sourhope farm. RNAcentral describes it as "SSU rRNA". It matches the Rfam family "Eukaryotic small subunit ribosomal RNA", at positions 58 to 529 of the family's 1831-position model. The record is from RNAcentral. Lineage: Eukaryota; Metazoa; Nematoda.
UCUAAGCAGAGCCCUUGAAUGGUAAAGCCGCGAAUGGCUCAUUACAACAGCCACAGUUUAUUGGGUCUCCAUUAACUUGGAUAACUGAGCUAAUUGUUGAGCUAAUACACGCACCAAAGCUUCGACCUCACGGGAGGAGCGCAUUUAUUAGAACAAAACCAAUCGGACUUCGGUCCGUCCAUUGGUGAAUCUAAAUAACUUAGCCGAUCGCAUGGUCUCGCACCGGCGACUCACCUUUCAAAUGUCUGCCUUAUCACCUUUCGAUGGUAGUUUAUACGCCUACCAUGGGUUUUACGGGUAACGGAGAAUAAGGGUUCGACUCCGGAGAGGGAGCCUGAGAAACGGCUACCACAUCCAAGGAAGGCAGCAGGCACGCAAAUUACCCACUCCCGGCACGGGGAGGUAGUGACGAAAAAUAACGAGGCGGUUCUCUAUGAGGCCCGCCAUCGGAAUGGGUACAAUCUAAA